UUAUGAGAGUUUGAUCCUGGCUCAGGACGAACGCUGGCGGCGUGCCUAAUACAUGCAAGUCGAACGCUUCUUUUUCCACCGGAGCUUGCUCCACCGGAAAAAGAGGAGUGGCGAACGGGUGAGUAACACGUGGGUAACCUGCCCAUCAGAAGGGGAUAACACUUGGAAACAGGUGCUAAUACCGUAUAACAAUCAAAACCGCAUGGUUUUGAUUUGAAAGGCGCUUUCAGGUGUCGCUGAUGGAUGGACCCGCGGUGCAUUAGCUAGUUGGUGAGGUAACGGCUCACCAAGGCCACGAUGCAUAGCCGACCUGAGAGGGUGAUCGGCCACAUUGGGACUGAGACACGGCCCAAACUCCUACGGGAGGCAGCAGUAGGGAAUCUUCGGCAAUGGACGAAAGUCUGACCGAGCAACGCCGCGUGAGUGAAGAAGGUUUUCGGAUCGUAAAACUCUGUUGUUAGAGAAGAACAAGGAUGAGAGUAACUGUUCAUCCCUUGACGGUAUCUAACCAGAAAGCCACGGCUAACUACGUGCCAGCAGCCGCGGUAAUACGUAGGUGGCAAGCGUUGUCCGGAUUUAUUGGGCGUAAAGCGAGCGCAGGCGGUUUCUUAAGUCUGAUGUGAAAGCCCCCGGCUCAACCGGGGAGGGUCAUUGGAAACUGGGAGACUUGAGUGCAGAAGAGGAGAGUGGAAUUCCAUGUGUAGCGGUGAAAUGCGUAGAUAUAUGGAGGAACACCAGUGGCGAAGGCGGCUCUCUGGUCUGUAACUGACGCUGAGGCUCGAAAGCGUGGGGAGCAAACAGGAUUAGAUACCCUGGUAGUCCACGCCGUAAACGAUGAGUGCUAAGUGUUGGAGGGUUUCCGCCCUUCAGUGCUGCAGCUAACGCAUUAAGCACUCCGCCUGGGGAGUACGACCGCAAGGUUGAAACUCAAAGGAAUUGACGGGGGCCCGCACAAGCGGUGGAGCAUGUGGUUUAAUUCGAAGCAACGCGAAGAACCUUACCAGGUCUUGACAUCCUUUGACCAAGCGCCAGCAUGCAAGAAAUUAGCCGUAUGAAAAGCUUAGUUCAAGAGAUGCUAGACCAGCUCGUGUCGUGAGAUGUUGGGUUAAGUCCCGCAACGAGCGCAACCCUUAUUGUUAGUUGCCAUCAUUCAGUUGGGCACUCUAGCAAGACUGCCGGUGACAAACCGGAGGAAGGUGGGGAUGACGUCAAAUCAUCAUGCCCCUUAUGACCUGGGCUACACACGUGCUACAAUGGGAAGUACAACGAGUUGCGAAGUCGCGAGGCUAAGCUAAUCUCUUAAAGCUUCUCUCAGUUCGGAUUGCAGGCUGCAACUCGCCUGCAUGAAGCCGGAAUCGCUAGUAAUCGCGGAUCAGCACGCCGCGGUGAAUACGUUCCCGGGCCUUGUACACACCGCCCGUCACACCACGAGAGUUUGUAACACCCGAAGUCGGUGAGGUAACCUUUUGGAGCCAGCCGCCUAAGGUGGGAUAGAUGAUUGGGGUGAAGUCGUAACAAGGUAGCCGUAUCGGAAGGUGCGGCUGGAUCACCUCCUUU
RNAcentral lists this ribosomal RNA (1557 nucleotides) under Enterococcus faecium. RNAcentral describes it as "bacterial SSU rRNA". It matches the Rfam family "Bacterial small subunit ribosomal RNA". The record is from RNAcentral. Lineage: Bacteria; Bacillati; Bacillota; Bacilli; Lactobacillales; Enterococcaceae.